This 253-nucleotide ribosomal RNA is filed under the name uncultured bacterium. RNAcentral describes it as "partial 16S ribosomal RNA". It matches the Rfam family "Bacterial small subunit ribosomal RNA", at positions 524 to 776 of the family's 1533-position model. The record is from RNAcentral.
UACGUAGGGUGCAAGCGUUGUCCGGAAUUAUUGGGCGUAAAGAGCUUGUAGGCGGUUUGUCGCGUCUGCUGUGAAAACUCGGGGCUUAACCCCGGGCCUGCAGUGGGUACGGGCAGACUAGAGUGCGGUAGGGGAGACUGGAAUUCCUGGUGUAGCGGUGAAAUGCGCAGAUAUCAGGAGGAACACCAAUAGCGAAGGCAGCUCGCUGGGACGGUAUUGACGCUAAGGCGCGAAAGCGUGGGGAGCAAACAGG